This 459-nucleotide ribosomal RNA is filed under the name uncultured bacterium. Its description in RNAcentral is "partial 16S ribosomal RNA". It matches the Rfam family "Bacterial small subunit ribosomal RNA", at positions 338 to 795 of the family's 1533-position model. The record is from RNAcentral.
CCUACGGGGGGCAGCAGUGAGGAAUAUUGGUCAAUGGUCGGGAGACUGAACCAGCCAAGCCGCGUGAGGGAGGAAGGUACAGAGUAUUGUAAACCUCUUUUGUCAGGGAACAAAGGCGGGGACGUGUCCCCGGUUGAGUGUACCUGAAGAAAAAGCAUCGGGUAACUCCGUGCCAGCAGCCGCGGUAAUACGGAGGAUGCGAGCGUUAUCCGGAUUUAUUGGGUUUAAGGGGUGCGGGGAGGGUCUGUUAAGUCAGCGGUCAAAGCUCGGGGCCAAACCCCGGACCGCCGUUGAAACUGGCAGUCUCGAGUUGGAGAGAAGUAGGCGGAAUGCGCGGUGUAGCGGUGAAAUGCAUAGAUAUCGCGCAGAACUCCGAUUGCGAAGGCAGCAUGCCGGCUCUACACUGACGCUGAGGCACGAAAGCGUGGGUAUCGAACAGGAUUAGAUACCCUUGUAGUC